AGUUAAUGAACUUGUUAAAGUAUUUACUUUGAAAGUAAAAAAAAGAAAUAAUUUUUCUAUUAACUU
This 66-nucleotide transfer RNA is filed under the name Macrima straminea. RNAcentral describes it as "tRNA-Ser". Lineage: Eukaryota; Metazoa; Arthropoda; Insecta; Coleoptera; Chrysomelidae. The record is from RNAcentral.